UGGAUAUCAACAUUUAUUCAUAUUUGUUUAUCAUUGGUCAAAAUAUUACAGUGCAUAGUCUUAGAAAUAAACUUGUCAAAAAAAAAUCUGGAAGUAUUAUAGUGCUUUGUACAGUCUUGGUACAAAACUUGUACAAUUGCAUAUCUAUCUCUGCAGUAUUUCCUCAACAUAGUUUCUGACAUUAACAUGAAGCAUACUCUUGGUCUCUUCGUAGACUUCCUUAGCAAAUUUCUUCAUCUCCUCAGAACUCUUCAUUAAGGCUUUGUAUACAGGUAAUGUGUAUUUCUGUUUUCCUGCAAUUAAACAACAAGGUA
This 314-nucleotide long non-coding RNA is filed under the name Mytilus galloprovincialis (Mediterranean mussel). The record is from RNAcentral. Lineage: Eukaryota; Metazoa; Mollusca; Bivalvia; Mytilida; Mytilidae.